UGGGUUAGACAACAGUGGACCGCCCUAGAGGUAGGGCUUUCCCUUCGGGGACUGCUGGUUCAGGUGCUGCAUGGCUGUCGUCAGCUCGUGUCGUGAGAUGUUGGGUUAAGUCCCGCAACGAGCGCAACCCUUACCUCUAGUUGCCAGCAUUUAGUUGGGCGCUUUAGAGGGACUGCCGGCGUUAAGCCGGAGGAAGGUGGGGAUGACGUCAAGUCCUCAUGGCCCUUAUGCCCAGGGCUACACACGUGCUACAAUGGACGGUACAGAGGGUCGCGAAGCCGCGAGGUGGAGCAAAUCUCAUAAAGCCGUCCUCAGUUCGGGUUGGAGUCUGCAACUCGACUCCAUGAAGG
This 350-nucleotide ribosomal RNA is filed under the name uncultured bacterium. Its description in RNAcentral is "bacterial SSU rRNA". It matches the Rfam family "Bacterial small subunit ribosomal RNA", at positions 976 to 1325 of the family's 1533-position model. The record is from RNAcentral.